This 569-nucleotide ribosomal RNA is filed under the name Blastocystis hominis. RNAcentral's name for it is "SSU rRNA". It matches the Rfam family "Eukaryotic small subunit ribosomal RNA", at positions 21 to 607 of the family's 1831-position model. The record is from RNAcentral. Lineage: Eukaryota; Bigyra; Opalinata; Blastocystidae.
AGUCAUACGCUCGUCUCAAAGAUUAAGCCAUGCAUGUGUAAGUAUAAAUAUUUAACUUUGAAACUGCGAAUGGCUCAUUAUAUCAGUUAUAGUUUAUUUGAUGAAAAGUACUACUUGGAUAACCGUAGUAAUUCUAGAGCUAAUACAUGAUAAAAUCCUCGACUUUGAAGAGGUGUAUUUAUUAGAAUGAAACCAAUAGACUUCGGUCUGUUUGUGAGUAAUAAUAACUAAUCGUAUCGCAUGCUUAGGUAGCGAUAUGUCUUUCAAGUUUCUGCCCUAUCAGCUUUGGAUGGUAGUGUAUUGGACUACCAUGGCAGUAACGGGUAACGAAGAAUUUGGGUUCGAUUUCGGAGAGGGAGCCUGAGAGAUGGCUACCACAUCCAAGGAAGGCAGCAGGCGCGUAAAUUACCCAAUCCUGACAUAGGGAGGUAGUGACAAUAAAUCACAAUGCGGAACUAUUAGUUUUGCAAUUGGAUUGAGAACAAUGUACAAAUGUUAUCGAUAAACAAUUGGAGGGCAAGUCUGGUGCCAGCAGCCGCGGUAAUUCCAGCUCCAAUAACGUAUAUUAA